Molecule: non-coding RNA, 327 nt
Organism: Pelobates cultripes (western spadefoot toad)
Lineage: Eukaryota; Metazoa; Chordata; Amphibia; Anura; Pelobatidae
Source: the annotation of a GenBank genome assembly
CCAAAAGUGAACAAGGAGGAAGCAUAUUCCAUAUGAAGGUCGAGAUGACCUAACUCACACCCCCUCUUUGUGUACACCUAUUUGUGUACCACACAGAUAUAAUAUUAAUAGGCUUUUGAAGAUUUAUUGUGCAUGUAUAGCACGGUUGUCUAGGGGUGUAUACAUAAACAGUGAAGCAGAGUCUUCAUAUAGGGUUUGCAAUACUGACAGUCUGGGUCAUAGGUGUAAUGCAGACAUGCGGUUAGGAACUUUUCCAUUGUCAGAAUACAUUGAAAAAACACUAAUAUAUUGCAAAUAUUAAAGUCAUAUUGCAGCUGUUUCCUAUAC